This 2822-nucleotide ribosomal RNA is filed under the name Citrobacter freundii. RNAcentral describes it as "partial 23S ribosomal RNA". It matches the Rfam family "Bacterial large subunit ribosomal RNA". Lineage: Bacteria; Pseudomonadati; Pseudomonadota; Gammaproteobacteria; Enterobacterales; Enterobacteriaceae. The record is from RNAcentral.
GGUUAAGCGACUAAGCGUACACGGUGGAUGCCCUGGCAGUCAGAGGCGAUGAAGGACGUGCUAAUCUGCGAUAAGCGUCGGUAAGGUGAUAUGAACCGUUAUAACCGGCGAUUUCCGAAUGGGGAAACCCAGUGUGAUUCGUCACACUAUCAUUACGUGAAUACAUAGCGUAAUGAAGCGAACCGGGGGAACUGAAACAUCUAAGUACCCCGAGGAAAAGAAAUCAACCGAGAUUCCCCCAGUAGCGGCGAGCGAACGGGGAGCAGCCCAGAGUCUGAAUCAGCUUGUGUGUUAGUGGAACGGUCUGGAAAGUCCGACGGUACAGGGUGAUAGUCCCGUACACCAAAAUGCACAGGUUGUGAACUCGAAGAGUAGGGCGGGACACGUGGUAUCCUGUCUGAAUAUGGGGGGACCAUCCUCCAAGGCUAAAUACUCCUGACUGACCGAUAGUGAACCAGUACCGUGAGGGAAAGGCGAAAAGAACCCCGGCGAGGGGAGUGAAAAAGAACCUGAAACCGUGUACGUACAAGCAGUGGGAGCAUCCUUUUGGGUGUGACUGCGUACCUUUUGUAUAAUGGGUCAGCGACUUAUAUUCUGUAGCAAGGUUAACCGUAUAGGGGAGCCGAAGGGAAACCGAGUCUUAACUGGGCGUUAAGUUGCAGGGUAUAGACCCGAAACCCGGUGAUCUAGCCAUGGGCAGGUUGAAGGUUGGGUAACACUAACUGGAGGACCGAACCGACUAAUGUUGAAAAAUUAGCGGAUGACUUGUGGCUGGGGGUGAAAGGCCAAUCAAACCGGGAGAUAGCUGGUUCUCCCCGAAAGCUAUUUAGGUAGCGCCUCGUGAAUUCAUCUUCGGGGGUAGAGCACUGUUUCGGCUAGGGGGUCAUCCCGACUUACCAACCCGAUGCAAACUGCGAAUACCGAAGAAUGUUAUCACGGGAGACACACGGCGGGUGCUAACGUCCGUCGUGAAGAGGGAAACAACCCAGACCGCCAGCUAAGGUCCCAAAGUCAUGGUUAAGUGGGAAACGAUGUGGGAAGGCACAGACAGCCAGGAUGUUGGCUUAGAAGCAGCCAUCAUUUAAAGAAAGCGUAAUAGCUCACUGGUCGAGUCGGCCUGCGCGGAAGAUGUAACGGGGCUAAACCAUGCACCGAAGCUGCGGCAGCGACACUAUGUGUUGUUGGGUAGGGGAGCGUUCUGUAAGCCGUUGAAGGUGUAUCGUGAGGUAUGCUGGAGGUAUCAGAAGUGCGAAUGCUGACAUAAGUAACGAUAAUGCGGGUGAAAAACCCGCACGCCGGAAGACCAAGGGUUCCUGUCCAACGUUAAUCGGGGCAGGGUGAGUCGACCCCUAAGGCGAGGCCGAAAGGCGUAGUCGAUGGGAAACAGGUUAAUAUUCCUGUACUUGGUGUUACUGCGAAGGGGGGACGGAGAAGGCUAUGUUAGCCGGGCGACGGUUGUCCCGGUUUAAGCAUGUAGGCGGAGGUUCCAGGUAAAUCCGGUACCUUUUUAACGCUGAGGUGUGAUGACGAGGCACUACGGUGCUGAAGUAACAAAUGCCCUGCUUCCAGGAAAAGCCUCUAAGCAUCAGGUAACACGAAAUCGUACCCCAAACCGACACAGGUGGUCAGGUAGAGAAUACCAAGGCGCUUGAGAGAACUCGGGUGAAGGAACUAGGCAAAAUGGUGCCGUAACUUCGGGAGAAGGCACGCUGAUAUGUAGGUGAAGUGAUUUACUCAUGGAGCUGAAAUCAGUCGAAGAUACCAGCUGGCUGCAACUGUUUAUUAAAAACACAGCACUGUGCAAACACGAAAGUGGACGUAUACGGUGUGACGCCUGCCCGGUGCCGGAAGGUUAAUUGAUGGGGUUAUCCGUAAGGAGAAGCUCUUGAUCGAAGCCCCGGUAAACGGCGGCCGUAACUAUAACGGUCCUAAGGUAGCGAAAUUCCUUGUCGGGUAAGUUCCGACCUGCACGAAUGGCGUAAUGAUGGCCAGGCUGUCUCCACCCGAGACUCAGUGAAAUUGAACUCGCUGUGAAGAUGCAGUGUACCCGCGGCAAGACGGAAAGACCCCGUGAACCUUUACUAUAGCUUGACACUGAACACUGGUCCUUGAUGUGUAGGAUAGGUGGGAGGCUUUGAAGUGUGGACGCCAGUCUGCAUGGAGCCAUCCUUGAAAUACCACCCUUUAAUGGCUGGUGUUCUAACGUGGACCCGUAAUCCGGGUUGCGGACAGUGUCUGGUGGGUAGUUUGACUGGGGCGGUCUCCUCCUAAAGAGUAACGGAGGAGCACGAAGGUUAGCUAAUCCUGGUCGGACAUCAGGAGGUUAGUGCAAAGGCAUAAGCUAGCUUGACUGCGAGAGUGACGGCUCGAGCAGGUGCGAAAGCAGGUCUUAGUGAUCCGGUGGUUCUGAAUGGAAGGGCCAUCGCUCAACGGAUAAAAGGUACUCCGGGGAUAACAGGCUGAUACCGCCCAAGAGUUCAUAUCGACGGCGGUGUUUGGCACCUCGAUGUCGGCUCAUCACAUCCUGGGGCUGAAGUAGGUCCCAAGGGUAUGGCUGUUCGCCAUUUAAAGUGGUACGCGAGCUGGGUUUAGAACGUCGUGAGACAGUUCGGUCCCUAUCUGCCGUGGGCGCUGGAGAAUUGAGGGGGGCUGCUCCUAGUACGAGAGGACCGGAGUGGACGCAUCACUGGUGUUCGGGUUGUCAUGCCAAUGGCAUUGCCCGGUAGCUAAAUGCGGAAGAGAUAAGUGCUGAAAGCAUCUAAGCACGAAACUUGCCCCGAGAUGAGUUCUCCCUGAGACUUUAAGUCUCCUGAAGGAACGUU